GAUGAACGCUGGCGGCGUGCCUAACACAUGCAAGUCGAGCGAACAGACCAUGAGCUUUCUCCUCUGACGUUAGCGGCGGACGGGUGAGUAACACGUGGAUAACCUACCUAUAAUUCUGGGAUAACUUCGGGAAACGGGAGCUAAUACGGGAUCAUAGACUGUACCGCAUGGUUCAGUAGUGAAAGACUCAUUUUCUGUCUCUUAUAGAUGGAGACGUGCCGGAUUAGCUAGUUGGUAGGGUGACGGCUUACCACGGCGACGAUGCGUAGCCGACCUGAGAGGGGGGUCGGCCACACUGGAACUGAGACACGGUCCAGAAGCCUACGGGAGGCAGCAGUAGGGAAUCGUCCGCAAUGGGCGAAAGCCGGACGGAGCAACGCCGCGUGGGUGAUGAAGGUCUUCGGAUCGUAAAGCUCUGUUAUUGGGGAAGAACAAAUGUGUGCGUAUCUAGGCACGUUUUGACGUUACCUAAUCAGGAAGCCACGGCUAACUACGUG
RNAcentral lists this ribosomal RNA (497 nucleotides) under uncultured bacterium. Its description in RNAcentral is "partial 16S ribosomal RNA". It matches the Rfam family "Bacterial small subunit ribosomal RNA", at positions 28 to 507 of the family's 1533-position model. The record is from RNAcentral.